UCGAGCGGAACGAGUUAUCUGAACCUUCGGGGAACGAUAACGGCGUCGAGCGGCGGACGGGUGAGUAAUGCCUAGGAAAUUGCCCUGAUGUGGGGGAUAACCAUUGGAAACGAUGGCUAAUACCGCAUGAUGCCUACGGGCCAAAGAGGGGGACCUUCGGGCCUCUCGCGUCAGGAUAUGCCUAGGUGGGAUUAGCUAGUUGGUGAGGUAAGGGCUCACCAAGGCGACGAUCCCUAGCUGGUCUGAGAGGAUGAUCAGCCACACUGGAACUGAGACACGGUCCAGACUCCUACGGGAGGCAGCAGUGGGGAAUAUUGCACAAUGGGCGCAAGCCUGAUGCAGCCAUGCCGCGUGUGUGAAGAAGGCCUUCGGGUUGUAAAGCACUUUCAGUCGUGAGGAAGGUAGUGUAGUUAAUAGCUGCAUUAUUUGACGUUAGCGACAGAAGAAGCACCGGCUAACUCCGUGCCAGCAGCCGCGGUAAUACGGAGGGUGCGAGCGUUAAUCGGAAUUACUGGGCGUAAAGCGCAUGCAGGUGGUUUGUUAAGUCAGAUGUGAAAGCCCGGGGCUCAACCUCGGAAUUGCAUUUGAAACUGGCAGACUAGAGUACUGUAGAGGGGGGUAGAAUUUCAGGUGUAGCGGUGAAAUGCGUAGAGAUCUGAAGGAAUACCGGUGGCGAAGGCGGCCCCCUGGACAGAUACUGACACUCAGAUGCGAAAGCGUGGGGAGCAAACAGGAUUAGAUACCCUGGUAGUCCACGCCGUAAACGAUGUCUACUUGGAGGUUGUGGCCUUGAGCCGUGGCUUUCGGAGCUAACGCGUUAAGUAGACCGCCUGGGGAGUACGGUCGCAAGAUUAAAACUCAAAUGAAUUGACGGGGGCCCGCACAAGCGGUGGAGCAUGUGGUUUAAUUCGAUGCAACGCGAAGAACCUUACCUACUCUUGACAUCCAGAGAACUUUCCAGAGAUGGAUUGGUGCCUUCGGGAACUCUGAGACAGGUGCUGCAUGGCUGUCGUCAGCUCGUGUUGUGAAAUGUUGGGUUAA
Molecule: ribosomal RNA, 1041 nt
Filed under: Vibrio parahaemolyticus
Lineage: Bacteria; Pseudomonadati; Pseudomonadota; Gammaproteobacteria; Vibrionales; Vibrionaceae
Description: bacterial SSU rRNA
Rfam family: Bacterial small subunit ribosomal RNA
Source: RNAcentral